CGUGCAGGCGGUUUGGUAAGUCGGGCGUUAAAGCUCCCGGCUCAACUGGGAGAGGCCGUUCGAUACUACCAGACUAGAGGGCAGCAGAGGGAGGUGGAAUUCCGGGUGUAGCGGUGAAACGCGUAGAUAUCCGGAGGAACACCAGUGGCGAAGGCGGCCUCCUGGACUGUCCCUGACGCUAAGACGCGAAAGCUAGGGGAGCGAACG
This 207-nucleotide ribosomal RNA is filed under the name uncultured bacterium. Its description in RNAcentral is "partial 16S ribosomal RNA". It matches the Rfam family "Bacterial small subunit ribosomal RNA", at positions 568 to 774 of the family's 1533-position model. The record is from RNAcentral.